This 425-nucleotide ribosomal RNA is filed under the name uncultured bacterium. RNAcentral's name for it is "bacterial SSU rRNA". It matches the Rfam family "Bacterial small subunit ribosomal RNA", at positions 354 to 796 of the family's 1533-position model. The record is from RNAcentral.
GUGGGGAAUUUUGCGCAAUGGGGGCAACCCUGACGCAGCAACGCCGCGUGCGGGAUGAAGGUCUUCGGAUUGUAAACCGCUUUCAGUAGGGAAUAAGUAUGAAGGUACCUACAGAAGAAGCACCGGCUAAAUACGUGCCAGCAGCCGCGGUAAUACGUAUGGUGCAAGCGUUAUCCGGAAUCAUUGGGCGUAAAGCGCGCGUAGGCGGCUUGUUAAGCAGGAAUUUAAAUCUUAGGGCUCAACCUUAAGUCGGUUCCUGAACUGGCAGGCUCGAGUGCGGUAGAGGAAGGUGGAAUUCCCAGUGUAGCGGUGAAAUGCGCAGAUAUUGGGAAGAACACCGAUGGCGAAGGCAGCCUUCUGGGCCGCCACUGACGCUGAGGCGCGAAAGCUAGGGGAGCGAACAGGAUUAGAAACCCCAGUAGUCC